This is a long non-coding RNA of Bos indicus x Bos taurus (hybrid cattle), 2032 nucleotides long. NCBI's taxonomy places the organism in Eukaryota, Metazoa, Chordata, Mammalia, Artiodactyla, Bovidae. The record is from Ensembl.
AAAACCGCCGGGGAAAUUGAGAUGCAAGGGGCAUUUUUUGGCAAGCACCAGGCCAGUACCGUCAGAGGCCGGCUUCUCGGGCUCGGCGAUCGGAAUGCCAAGUGUGAGAUGUUUGCUGAGACAACCGGAGCAUUCGCGGUGGGAAAGGAGAAGAAAGGGUUAGGAAAGUCCGAGCAGGCAGACACACUACAGCAUUCACACGCAGAAGAAAGCGGCGCUCUCCUCGCCGACUUGGAGGAGGGCAGGCGAGGAAGCGAACACGCUGAAUUCAGCUGCAUCCAGCAUCUGAAAGGAUUCUCCCCCGCCCCCCUGUGGAUUCCGAUGCAGGUCAUGCAACUUGCGGACAAGACGGGGGGAUGGGGGAGAUGCGGGUGCCACCGGCCCGACCCGGGCGCAGUCUCAGGCUGGCUGGGCGCCUGCGAGUGGCUCUGUCGCUGUGAGUAAACUUGGAAGCAAAAAAAAAAAAGAAAGAAAGAAAAGAACGUGUCUAUAAAAGGCAAUUUUUCCCGACUCCCUCUUACAUUCCACCUUCCCUUGGCCUCGGUGAGACUUUUACCCCCUGUUGCCAGUGUGGCCUCCUUACCAGACUGGCAUUUUGCCCUCCCACCAGCAGGAGGGGACAGAGAGUGGAGACCUUCAUAGAGUCUCAAACCAGUUCCUACUGGCCCAAGGCCAUCUCUGAUAGCCCCCAGUGCCAGUCUGUGAGGAGCUCUGGAAUUUCUUGAUUGAAAAUCAGGGAAACUGAGGCGUACUCGAAGCUGUCCCUUGGCCUUUUUUCAGGCGGUAUCAGAAAAACAGGGAGAAGCUUUCUCAGACCAGGUCUGGGGAAAGUCCCGUAAGCAGAGUAUGCCAUGUGGAUUUGGCCCAGCAUCAGUUCUCCUGCCUGGAACUAAGAUGGUUGUGUCUUAAAGGUGCCGCGCACACUUUUGUUGAGAAAGAAAUGAUUUUUAACACUUCCAUUGGAGAAGGGGCGGCAUCCAUAAGUCAGAACAAAUUUAAAACACUUGUAAAACCUCUUUGGAGAUGGUACAAGGGCAGCUGUGGAACAAGGGGCCCUGAUGAGACAAGAAGCCUUUCAUCCCUCCAGUGUGAUGGGAUUAAGAUGAGGCGUUAUGUUUAUGCUGGAGCUCCAGGCCUGAGCAGGAAGUGGCAACUUACAAGGAGGAAGGCCCUUUUAAAAGCUGACAGGAUGGUCCAGGAGUGGAGAGAGCAGUGUUCUAUUCGGGAACUUAGGGAAAUCACUUAUGUAUGGCUUUCAUAUCUGUAAAAAUGACUAGAUUGGUCCACGCUGCCCAAAGUGUGAUCCUUUGACCAGCAGCAUCCACAUCACCUGGAAGCUUGGUAGAAACCCAAUAUCUGAGAUCCCACCCCAGACUGAGUAAACCAGAAAAUCCAUUUUAACAUGCUCCCCAGGUGAGUCAUGAACACAUUACAGUGUGAGAGGUACUGAGGUGACUCCCCAAGUCCCUUCCCGCUUGGAUAGUCUCUGACUCUACAUGGACCUGGGUGGAAGGGACUUUUGAAGAAAAAAAAAAAAGAGGUUACAGUGAUGUGGAUUCUCAGAAUAUUAUUCAGUUAGGGUGACAAAAAUUGGGUGUUUCAGAUGCAAGGGCCUUGUCAAAAAACAGACCUGUGAAGUAUCACUACAAGUGCAAGGGAGAAUAUUCUCAUCCUUCAUUCAUUCUUAAUCUCUGAGAACAGCCAGAUCUCAAAGAGGGGGCAGGACAAAUUGUCCAGUGCAGAUACCCUGCUCUUGGCCAGCAGGGGUACAGAGCAUCUGGGGUGUCUUGUCUGCUUGGCGAGAAUGUCCUGGUUGACAAGGAAGAGUGGCUGUCACAUCACCGUGAUUCCUAGCCUCCAGCCACUGGGUCCUAGAAAUAUCGUGACCUGCCAAUCAGGGGAUAAUCCCUCCCAUCUCUUACAGCUAGCAUCUUAGAAAGGAGGAGACUUACCAGUGGAUGCCAUGCUGAUCAACAAGAGGCAGGAGCGGGCAGAGUUUUUUGAACAGUAAAUAAACCUUCAGUUUAGUUCA